AUCCAUCUGACGAGUCCCAAAUAGAACGAAAUGUGAGUUCUGGAU
Molecule: non-coding RNA, 45 nt
Organism: Schistosoma curassoni
Lineage: Eukaryota; Metazoa; Platyhelminthes; Trematoda; Strigeidida; Schistosomatidae
Source: Rfam